Columba livia (rock pigeon) is the source of this 5600-nucleotide long non-coding RNA. RefSeq lists it as uncharacterized. The record is from RefSeq and is a predicted model, not a curated record. Lineage: Eukaryota; Metazoa; Chordata; Aves; Columbiformes; Columbidae. The transcript is spliced from 2 exons.
UCUGGGACCCCUCCCCCUGACGGGGUGGCCGAAAAGGCCUCAGUAUGAAAGCGGUAUGCUCAGAUUGAACACUAUUGUAACAUUUUCACAGUAUCACAGUAUCACACAUCCCAGACUUUUCCGUCAUUGCUAGACCUCUUUAUGACUUACAAAGAAAAGGGGUCAAAUGGGAAUGGACAGCUUCUCAGGAAGAAGCUAUGCGAUUACUAAUUUUUGAAGCAACAGCUCAUCGAGCCCUUGGUCCGAUUCACCCUACAGACCCUUUCAGGUUGAAUGGGAGUCUGCUUUAUCAGGUUUAUCAAUUCAUAUAUGGCAGAGAGGCCCUGAGGGUCCAACCCGACCUGUGGGAUUUUUCUACCGUGGUUUUAGGGAUGCCGAGAAGAGAUAUACUGCCUGGGAGAAAGGUUUGUUUGUUGUUAGCCUAGCUCUGGUAGAAGUAGAAAAAAUUGCACGACAGCAGCCAAUCGUAUUAAGAGGCCCAUUUAAAGUCAUAAAGACAGUCACUUCUGGGACCCCUCCCCCUGACGGGGUGGCCCAAAAGGCCUCAGUAUGAAAGCGGUAUGCUCAGAUUGAACACUAUUGUAAUAUUUUCUUAGUAUCUGAAGGAGCUUUAAAAAAUCUAGCUAUACAAGAAAUUGAGAACUUGGACGAUGGCCAAGAUAAACCUGCCACAGUAAUCCAAAUCGCACCUCCCUUUUCCCAUGAUCAGUCAGUUAGUACUUGGUUUACUGAUGCUUCUGCUAAAAGAGAAGGUGUGGAAAUACAGGGCAGCAGCACUCCAUACCUCUUCCAAUGAACAAAUUAUAACAGAGGGAGAGGGUAGUGCACAAGUAGGUGAAUUAAUUGCAGUAUGGAGUGUCUUCCAACAUGAAGCACAAACCGCUUCUCCUGUCCACAUUUAUACUGACUCUUAUGCUGUGUUUAAGGGCUGUACUGAGUGGCUUCCUUUCUGGGAACAGAACGGAUGGGAAGUUAACAGGAUUCCAGUGUGACAAAAAGAAAAAUGGCAAGAAAUCUUAAGUAUUGCUAGAAAGGAAAAUUUUGCUGUGGGCUGGGUAGCUUCUCAUCAGGUAGAUGGGUGAUACGCAGGAGAAAGGAAUAACCGAGCUGAUGAAUUAGCAAGACUGGCCCCUGUACAAAAGGACCAAAUUUCAGAAGACUGGGAACGCUUGUUAGAAUGGUUACAUGUAAAACGCAAACACACCGGAGCUAAAGACUUGUAUCGUGAAGCUCUCUUCUCGGCAUCCCUAAAACCACGGGAGAAAAAUCCCACAGGAAAAGAACUGGUGAAAGCUGAGAAUGCUGAAGUCAUAAAUAAGUGUAAUAAUAAGUGUAAUAUCAGUCCUUUUACUGAUUCGUGUCCGCCUUUACCGCCUUCUACCCCUCUAACUCCUAGAAAAGAGCAGAAGGAGUUGCCGGAUAAGAACUGGGCAAAAGAACUGUGUGAAAGAUCAGAUCAGCUAUUAGCGAGUGAAUCCAACAGUCAGCAAUGCGGUCAUGCUGAUCGUGACGGGAAAGGGGAUGUGCCGAGAGAAAAAUUCCAUCAGAGUUCCAAACCCGAGCGGACGGAGGAAGGAAUGCGGUCGACCCAAUAUGAGUGAUAAGCAUACCUCAACUUUAUUGAUGCACUAAGCUGGUUUAUAUAAGACUUACAAUAAUUAUGCAUACUUGUCAUCUAUUAAUUGGAUAGUAUACAGUAAUUAUGCCUACUCGUCUUCUAUUAAUUGGAUAGUAUACAAUAAUUAUGCCUACUCGUCUUCUAUUGAUUGGAUAGUAUACAUAAUGAGCUCAACCUUCUUGUGGUUUCUCUGGAAUGCAACCUCCUCACCCUGCUAGAGAUAAUUCCCCAGCUUGUUUAUCUAAACGCUCAGCUGAACCAGAGAGCAACCGCUCAGUACUUUUCCACUAUGCUACACCAAACUCAUGCUAACUGAGGCCUACUCAUGCUAACUUAGAACAGAAUUCUCCUGAUACAACGGAUCAAUAGAGCCAUGCCCCUUCUCUAUUAGCCAUGUCCCAACAAUUCCCCCUUUUUCUCUUUGGGCUAAUAACACUUCCUUGCGAAAAGUAGCAUCAAUUAUCUUUAAGCAUAAUUGCCUAAUACAUGAAAGACAACACAUACCAAUAAGCAAUAUAAGCAAAAUAAAAGCAAUUCCUACCAAUACUGGUUUAAAGAAUGACAACAGCCAUGAAGGAAAACCUAGCGAGGCCCACCACCUAGCGAUUGGAAAGCUAAUCGACAAGAUGCAUUAUUAAAGGGUAAAUGAGCUAAACAAGCAUCAGGUUCCCCCGUACAAUUACAGUUGUUCCAAACAGACACAUUAUACAGUCCUGUAAGCAUCUCAAUAGAUUCAUUGACUGAUAAAGGUAUUCCAAUUAGACACGUCUUGAAUGGCUCUUGAGCUGAAGCGAGACUCAGACAGAAAUUAGGAUUGUGCGUCUUAUUGGCCCAAGUUAACCAAAUGUUCUGUUGCUUCAUCAACAAAUGCGGAACAGCCGUUGCACCAAUGACAGUCAAGAUAAAUACCAUCAGUCCUUUAAUGUUGGCCGAGUCCAUUUUGCAGGUACCCAUCUUGGCCCUGUAGGAGUAAGUACACACAUGUAUCCUCUGCCAAUGUAUUGAACUUCCGCAGGCCCUUUCCACUGUCCAGUUUCUGGGUCUCGAUAAAACACCUUCAUUUGAACAGUUACUUUCUUUGAGAGACCUGAAUGCACUUUUACUGGUGGCUCCUCAUCUGAUCCAAAUAUACAGAGGUAAUUUAAAACAAACAAUGUUUUCAUAACCCUUUCUUGACUGUCCGUGAUAUCUUGAAAUUUCUGCAAAUAUUGCUUCAGCGUUUGAUUCAUUCUCUCUACAAUUGCUUGUCCCGUUGGGGAAUGUGGAAUCCCUGUAACAUGUUGUACUCCCCAUAACUGACAGAAUUUACGCAUCUUCUCACUACAAUAAGCUGGCCCAUUAUCCGUUUUAAUCUGUGCUGGUACCCCCAUUACAGCAAAACACGCCGUCAAGUGACGAAUCACAUGACUAGCUUUUUCUCCUGCCUGUGGCGUUGCCCAUACAAAAUGACUAUAUGUAUCAACUGUAAUAUGUACAUAUUUGAGCCUACCCAUUGAGGGCACAUGCGUCACGUCCAUUUGCCAUAUCUCAUUAGGACCCAACCCCCUAGGAUUAACUCCUACACCUAGACCAGAACCAUGAUGACUACACUGAGGGCAAGUCCGUACAAUUCCCUUAGCUUCCUCUACAGUGAUCUUAAACUGUGAAUGUAAUCCUUUCGCAUUCUGAUGGAACACACUAUGUGAUUCUCUAGCCUUGACAAAAUCACUAACAGGGGCAGAACAUGCUACCAACCUAUCUGCUCUAGCAUUCCCUUCCCCAAGGCCACAAUCCCACAUAUGACUACGGAUGUGAAUCACUGCAUAUGGUUUUGUUCUUCCUUGAAUUAAUGUACGCAACUGUCUAAACAGUUCUCCCAAGCGCAGUUGCUUAACAUCCUUAAUCUGAGAAUCUUCUAUCCCGUGUAACACACCCGCGACAUACAGCGAAUCGGUCACAAUAUUAAUUGUUUCCUCUCUCCACUUCCCCAUGGCCCAUACAACAGCAGCAAGCUCCAAUGUCUGCAAGGAAUCUCCCGGAACAGCUUCCAGCAAGUGGUGGUGCCACUCACCACAAGCGAUCCAGGAGACAAGGAUAUAGUUGUAGCUGAUGAGAAUAAACACUCACACAACUCCUCGCUAUUCUGAAGGUACCACUCUAUUGCUUCUUUUUUCAUCGGAACAUAUAUUGUCUGCAACUCUUGCCCUGUGAUCUGAAUUACACGCUUCCUACCCUUCCUUAUUAAAUCUGCUAAAGUUUCGACCUUUUGCUGUAUUGACUUUCUUGGCUGUAGCUUUGGAAAUACCCAUUCAAGUAUCCCAAGUUCCUCUCGCUCCCCUUUUUUUUCUUUGUGCUGUGUAAGAGCCCCAAUUAAAUGACCAUCUGUUUGAAAAACAGAAAAAUCUACAGGUAUUGCAGGGUCACGUCUCCUUGUAAAACCCAAUGUGAUUAAGUGAGCUAAAUUCUGGAUCAUUUGUUUUUGCUCCAUAGAGAGAUCCACCGGAGUGGAGGGAUCGGUUCCACGCAGCAAUGGUCGUAACACCUCUAACUGCGUAUUGGUAAUACCCACGACAGGCCUUAACCAUUGUAAAUCCCCCAUGAGUUUCUGAACAUCAUGAAGUGUCCUAAUAUCUGUGGUAAUAUGCGGUUUUUGCGGUCGAAUUUGGGAGUCGGUAAUUUUCCACCCUAAGUACAACCACGGUUCUUGUCGCUGAAUUUUUUCCUUAGCAAUUACUAAACCCUCCUUAUACAACUGACAAUGUAAAAAUUGCAAUUGUUGCUCAGUAAAGUCUUGUUCUUGUGCAAUAAGAAUAUCAUCCAUGUAGUGAUACACCAUCGCUGUAGGCCAGGCAUCACGAAUAGGACGCAACGCAUUGUCCACAAACAAUUGACACAAUGUCGGACUAUUUUUCAUUCCUUGCGGUAACACAGUCCACUCAAACCGCUGAGCAGGAGCUUCCCUAUUUAUUGCUGGCAAAGUGAAGGCAAAUCGCUGUGUAUCGAGGUGGUGCAAAGAAAUAGUAAAAAAGCAAUCCUUCAAAUCCACAAUUAACAACUUCCAGUGUUCAGGAAGCAUUGCCGGAUUCGGAAGACCAGGUUGUAAUGCUCCCAUCGGUUGCAUUUGUGCAUUUACAGCUCUCAAAUCAUGAAGCAGUCGGAACUUUCCUGAUUUUUUCUUAAUCACAAAUAUAGGCGUAUUCCAUGGGCUUGUUGACAGUUGCAAAUGUCCUUGAUCAAACUGUUCUUGUACCAACUGAUGUGCUGCUGCAAGACUUUCCAUCUUUAACGGCCACUGCUCGAUCCAUACAGGGUCAUCUGAAGUCCAUUUAAGAGGGAUCGGGAAAGCCCAUUUUGCAGUGACCGUUAGCGAAAAGCCCUUUCAGUUGUCAAAACAGCUCCUAGCUGAUCCAAUAUAUCUCGACCUAUUAGUCCAUUUACACCUGCAGGAAGAGUCAUUACUGUAACAAAUGUAUUGGCUUUUCGCCCGUCUAUGAUGAACAGGAUACGUUCAAUACUUUGACGUACUGAUGAAUGACCUCCUACUCCUUCAACGCCCCCGUCCAUAAGUUUUGUUGGCCAAUCCUGAGGCCAGGCGCCCUCAUCUACGAUGGUCAAAUCAGCCCCAGUGUCCAGUAACAUUGUAAGUAAAAUAAAUUGUCCUCUAGAUUCCAUUCGAACUGACGCAGUUGGUCGCCGAUUCAUUGACAUAGUUAGCAUCACAGCAGGUCCUGUCGAUCCAAAUCCACCACCUCCUCUUUCUGAAGAUAAUGCUGGCGUCAUGUCCUUUGUUAAUUGCGGAAGUGGUAUCAAUUGUGCUAUUUGACUACCCUUCGGAAUGAAAAUCGGAGGAAACAGUGUCUGAACCAUAAUUUGUACAAUCCCUUUGUAAUCGGCAUCAAUAAGUCCCGGGAUAAUCGUAAGGCCUUUCAUACCACUCGACGAACGACCAAUUAACAAUGCCCCUUGUGAUUGUCCAUUAAUUAUUAAAGGUCCUUUAAAGGUG